Molecule: ribosomal RNA, 303 nt
Filed under: uncultured bacterium
Lineage: Bacteria
Description: partial 16S ribosomal RNA
Rfam family: Bacterial small subunit ribosomal RNA
Source: RNAcentral
AGCAGUAGCCGCGGUAAUACGAAGGGUGCAAGCGUUACUCGGAAUUACUGGGCGUAAAGCGUGUGUAGGUGGUUGUUUAAGUCUGUCGUGAAAGCCCUGGGCUCAACCUGGGAAUUGCGAUGGAUACUGGGCGACUAGAGUGCGGUAGAGGAUAGUGGAAUUUCCGGUGUAGCAGUGAAAUGCGUAGAGAUCGGAAGGAACAUCUGUGGCGAAGGCGACUAUCUGGGCCAACACUGACACUGAGACACGAAAGCGUGGGGAGCAAACAGGAUUAGAUACCCGAGUAGUCCCUGUCUCUUAUAA